AAAUUGAAGAGUUUGAUCAUGGCUCAGAUUGAACGCUGGCGGCAGGCCUAACACAUGCAAGUCGAACGGUAACAGGAAACAGCUUGCUGAUUCGCUGACGAGUGGCGGACGGGUGAGUAAUGUCUGGGAAACUGCCUGAUGGAGGGGGAUAACUACUGGAAACGGUAGCUAAUACCGCAUAACGUCGCAAGACCAAAGAGGGGGACCUUCGGGCCUCUUGCCAUCGGAUGUGCCCAGAUGGGAUUAGCUUGUUGGUGGGGUA
This 262-nucleotide ribosomal RNA is filed under the name Escherichia coli. RNAcentral's name for it is "partial 16S ribosomal RNA". It matches the Rfam family "Bacterial small subunit ribosomal RNA", at positions 1 to 259 of the family's 1533-position model. Lineage: Bacteria; Pseudomonadati; Pseudomonadota; Gammaproteobacteria; Enterobacterales; Enterobacteriaceae. The record is from RNAcentral.